GCCAGGUGUGGUGGUGUGCGCCUGUAAUCCCAGCUAUGGGGAGGCUGAGGCAGGAGAAUCACUUGAACCCAGGAGGCAGAGGUUGCAGUGAGCCAAGAUCACGCCACUGCACUCCAGCCUGGGUGACAGAGUGAGACUCCGUCUCAA
RNAcentral lists this non-coding RNA (147 nucleotides) under Pan paniscus (pygmy chimpanzee). Lineage: Eukaryota; Metazoa; Chordata; Mammalia; Primates; Hominidae. The record is from Rfam by way of RNAcentral. RNAcentral also lists the same sequence under 1 other name.